RNAcentral lists this ribosomal RNA (496 nucleotides) under uncultured bacterium. RNAcentral's name for it is "partial 16S ribosomal RNA". It matches the Rfam family "Bacterial small subunit ribosomal RNA", at positions 28 to 506 of the family's 1533-position model. The record is from RNAcentral.
GGUGAACGCUGGCGGCGUGCCUAAUACAUGCAAGUCGAGCGAACGGACGAGAAGCUUGCUUCUCUGAUGUUAGCGGCGGACGGGUGAGUAACACGUGGAUAACCUACCUAUAAGACUGGGAUAACUUCGGGAAACCGGAGCUAAUACCGGAUAAUAUUUUGAACCGCAUGGUUCAAAAGUGAAAGACGGUCUUGCUGUCACUUAUAGAUGGAUCCGCGCUGCAUUAGCUAGUUGGUAAGGUAACGGCUUACCAAGGCAACGAUGCAUAGCCGACCUGAGAGGGUGAUCGGCCACACUGGAACUGAGACACGGUCCAGACUCCUACGGGAGGCAGCAGUAGGGAAUCUUCCGCAAUGGGCGAAAGCCUGACGGAGCAACGCCGCGUGAGUGAUGAAGGUCUUCGGAUCGUAAAACUCUGUUAUUAGGGAAGAACAUAUGUGUAAGUAACUGUGCACAUCUUGACGGUACCUAAUCAGAAAGCCACGGCUAACUACGU